ACCCUCCUGCAGAGGAAGAACUUCAAUCAGUAAAGUACACAGAGAUGUGGAAACAUAUCCCAAGAAAGGGGGAGUCACAGAACGAGGGCAAAGUUUGGUUUAUUACUGCGAAUAUCAUACUCCAUUUGAGGCUCCCAUACCAGCGUCUGUGAAGGAAAGGCCCAUCUGGUAGGUGGAGCUUCUGAAAUCUUGACCACCAUGGACGGUGGCAGUCUCUUUCCCCGCUGUGCCAGGUGUAUGGUGUUCCUAAGGGAGCUUGGGACCACCAGGUCACUUAAGGAGGGAUGAACCAGCCCAGUUCAGGAACAGUGCCAUGUUAACUGCCAACUCCCCCAUGCUCCCAUUGCAGACUCCCACUAAACCAUGCCCCCACCUCCCACAGAGCUCAAAGCUACAAAGGUUUCUGGAUGAGAGAGAAGAGAUAAAGUCUUCUCAAAACUGUUGUUAUGCGGUCCAACACUACAUCAAUAAUAUAAAAAUGAGUUCUAUUUGCAUGGUAAGACUGAUAAUUUCCUUGUUUUUUUCAUAUCCAUGCACAACCAGGUGAAAACUGGGGUACUUCCAUGUUUAUUUUAGGCCAGCUGGAAGCUAGAAGCCAGCUGUAUCUUUCAUUAGAAUUGUUUUCUUCAGACAAAGAGUCUAAAGACGGGCGAAGCAAGGUGAAACAUCUGAUUAGGUUGCAGAGUUGUAACUGAAUAUAAUGAUGAGGAGCAGCAACAAAUUAAGGACGAACACACAGUAAGCAGAAAGUGCAACAGCCAGGAUGUGAACAGAAGGAGCAGGUGUGGGCAAACCAUUUCACCACUAACAUGUUUCUUAGCAAAUUAGAUUACUGUCUAUGGCAGUAACCAUGUGCUGAUAUUCUGAAAAACACCCAACCACAGUUGGGUCUCCAACCACAGAUUCUUCCCUCUGAAUCCCUGCUGAAAGAUCAAGCUUAGUCUGACCAGCUAAUGCUAAUAAUGCGACAUCAUAGACACCUAAAUUGUAACAAAUCUCAAACAUUUACUGACCCAGAUAGUCAGUACUAAGAAAGCUGGAAAACCAUCUGGCAAAGAUGGUCUACUAGUUGGUCCAGCCUGGUCAGUGGCUGGUCAGACCAAGGUGGAUUUUUCAAAGGGAAAUAUAAUUCUAUUUUUGAAAGCAUUUUACAGAAUUAGCACUAAAUUAAAAAAAUUAAUAAGCAUAAAUAUCUUUAAUCAGAUAAAUAUUUAUUGAUAGAAUACCACAACUGCCCUUAGACUUCCAAUACAACUUAAUUUGGAGUAAACAGGUUUUCCAGGUUUUGUUUUGUUCUAGGUUUUCUGUCUAUGGUAAUAACUGUACUGUAUUAGGAAGGUGUUAAGUUAAAAAAAGCUGGAGUAUUCCUGUAACUGCACUAAAGGUCAGAUUUGUCAAGAGCUUGACUGUCUCUGUAUACACAAUAUACAUCAUCAGUACGGGAACAGUGUGAACUAGCAAAGGCAAGAAAAAUCACUAGCACAUAUGAAUGUCACCUAGUACUUCUUGCUACUUGGGAACAUUCUGCAUUAAAUCCCUUCUCUGGUAUGUAAAAUCAAGAGUAAUAUUGUAAUGUACAGUUGUUACAAUGUAAAGAACCACCAAAUAAAUUAUUAUAGUCGUUAUUUUGGUUUCGCCCUAAUCACAGCAGGCUGUAAUGACACACAGUAUAAUGACAAUACAUCGUUACAAUACAUUUGUAUAGGUGACUGGAUUUGUUCCCAAUCAGUGUAAUUGUGAGUUAGUGCUGCUUGGCGCUAUCAGCAGGGUUGGACACACACGCAGAGCCAAUUACAGCAUGAAGAGGGGUAAGCUUUGAGUCAUUAACAGUGCUUAACACCAGACAGUGCUCAAGUGAAUUAUUAAAGUCCUGAGUCUCAGCACUUUGCCUCAGCAUUUACUGCUCUCAUAGAGCUCGAUUCAGUAUCAGCAAAUCACAGUGAACGCCUUGCAGUUUUAGCCAUUACAGAAACACACACACACACACACACACACACACACACACACACAUACAAUGAAUUACAUUUUAUAGAGUAGCCUAACUUGUUGCUUAUCUAAAACACUGCUGAGAUGUGAUUUUGUAUCAACUUCUUCAUAAGAAGUGACAUGCAACAAUUUCAUCUCUGUUGAAGCAUGUCAAUAUUUAGUUUGAACAGACAACAAAAAUCUUUCUUUGACCUGUCUACUACUCUGGCCUCCUUGUGUGAUGGCUCACUGACUGACAGCUCCACACACACUGUCUUACUAUCCUUGGGAGGAGCUUCCAUUGCCAUAAUUAUUAAUGCAGUGGUUCCCAAACUUUUUGGGCAAAAGACCCCAAAUGGAUAUUAUGAAUUUUUUGCGACCCUAAGCCUUGAACACCCUAUAUAUCUUUUUAAUUCCAGAUUUAUAAUAUUUGGACUACUGUAACAUUUGGACAUUUUAUUAUGUCAGUAAAAUGUGUACUGUAUGUGACUAAACCAUAGGUGUAUUCCUUGCACUGACUUGCCAGUCUAGUGGGAAGGGUGAACUUGCAUUUCUUGACACAGCUUUUCAAAAAGAUAGGAGGUAUGUUUGAAAGGGUGCAUCUCUUUCCACUGUCACAUCCUAAGAAAUAAAACACGCAAACCAAUGAUAUGGCCUUGAUUCGACACAUGACUUCGCUUCCACAUGCAGAAGCAGCGGCAACGUGUGCAUCAUUGUUCACACACUCGCCUGCGUACCUUAGGUACAUUAUGAUGAAUAAAGGUGACAUUGACAAGAUGGCAUUUGCUGAUACUGACGAGCUCUGUUAAAACCUUCAUUUAAAGCUCAAACACUAACUGUAAUAGGAAAAAUGCUUCAUGUUUCCACUCAAUAACGUUUAGUACAUAAAUAUGCAAUUUGAGACAUAACACUAGUUUAUUUAGGGCAGGUUGAUGGAUAGGGAAAUUUGUCCAUUUCUAUUGUUGAUUUCUUUCACUAGUGCAGCAUGUCAGGAUAGUGAAAAGACAAAAGUAGCACAUACACUCUUCAUUUAAAAUAGUAGCACACAAAAUCCAUCUUCUUAGCUAAAGUGAUAUUGCUAAUAAGAAUUUCUAAAAUAAAUGAAUAAAGCAAAAAGAGAUUCUAAGUUUCCCUUUUGACCCCAUUUGUAAAUCAAGCAACCCCUCUAUUAAUGCAAUUAAUCAAUGCUAUGCCUACAGCUAACCUUACACUCAGUAACCAAAAGGAAGUUCUUUUAGUUUCUUUUAGUUGAGCUGCUGUUUGUUUUUGUAAACUGUCAUAUAUUUCAAUCCUUGUGGUUACAUUUGGUCCCCGCCAAGAUAUAAAAAGAUGCCCACAGACAGAUACACACAUAUACACUCACAAAUCAAUAAAUUUUUCUCCUAUGCCUAAAUAACAGUGAAUUACACCUUGCUCAAAGUCAUACACAGAGACACACACUAGCUUACUAAAGCUGCUUCUGUAAAUCAAUACGCUGUUCCACUGCCUUCUGCUUGGCUGACUGACAAGCACCAAGGUUACUGGGCCAGAACACAGGAAGAGCUAUGGCUUCUGAUUUAUCAGGCAACCUCUGUGGUCUGUGCGCUUACCAUGGGCAGUUACUCAUGCGAUUUCAUCCCCACCCUCUCAAACCUUUUGUGUUCCUCUCAGGAAUGCACCCAUACUCAUUAAGGGUAGGAGGGUGGGAGGAUGACUAGUGGAGUGAGAUAAUGUGAGAGGAGGGAGAAUGUAGAUGGCCUGUUAUACCGUCGUUAGACUCAUUAGGAUGAUGACCUCUUACUCAGAGUGCCUUCAGGUUGCCUAGCACAGGACCUCAUACAAUGUGGAAUUUGCUCAUUAGUACGUUAUCUAUGUGACCUCCUAAUGGCAGGAGUCUGUUUGCUUGAGUGUGUAUAUGUGUGUGUGUGUGAGAGAGAGAGUGUAUGUGUGUUUGCAAACAUUUGGCUUCUGUGUGUGCAUAUGUCUGUACAAGUGCAUGAGACAUCUGGUGCUCCAGUGGGAAAUGUUCAUCUUGGUUGGACUGGUGUCAGAUGUGUGCUAUUGAGGACUUAAUAAAGCAAAAUUAAAGAGCUGUCAGAGCAGGGGGGAGCCUGUGCUAGCCGGCUGGUUUUAGAGAGAAUUCCUAGUAAGUUUGAAAAUCUCAGCAUUCUCUGACAGUCAGUCCUCUCUGCUCCUUUCUCCCGUUCGUAACUUAAUUACAUCAUCAGAGAACAUUAGGCAUGUUCGCUCUGCUGUGACUGGAAGAGGCACAAAAGAAUGCUAAAAAUAAUACUACGUAUCCAUCAAUCUUGAUGGGAGCUUUUAUUUUGUGUGACUAAAAUCACAGUUUAAUAGUCAUUAUAAAGUCAUCUAAAAAUACAAAAUACAGACAAAAUCCAAUCUGCUGUGUCUCCUCUUCUGUGACUAGAUGAGACAAUCAUUAAUGUCCUGUAUUCUUGGUUUGUGGAUAACCCAUAAUUACCCAGGGCUAACAUUUUUUCUUAAAGAUAGUGCUUAAAUAGGGCUACAUACAUAAGCCCAUCAUGACAUCUGACAUAAAUCUAUGUAAAUAUUUUCAUGCAGGGUGUUUUUAUGCUUGGUCCAAAUAUUCAAGGGCAGAUUCUGGGCUCACUAGUGCAGGUUUGCAAUUCACAUAGAAUUCACACACUCCAAAACACGGAUCAAAUGAGCAAUUCCAUAAGUCACUGUUGUGCACACAGGUUUGCAAAAUAGUAGACACUAAGUUCAUCCAUUUGCUGUUUUUUUAAUUAUUAUUUUCCUUUUCUACAAAUGGCAAAGAGCAGCGCUCUUCGGAAGCAUGGCAUGUCAUCAUGCAAGAAUACCUCCAAAAGAAGGAGCAGUUCUCAUGCAAGAAGAUUUUUAGCCAUGCAGCUCGGCAUGAGUUAAUUUUUUGUGAUGGUCUCAGUGCAAGCAGUAAAAACCACGAAGGUGGAACUCAGUGACCUCCCUGGACGACAUCCAGAUCACACCAUCUGACAUCGUACACAGCCUUGGGGUUGUUCUGGACAACCAA
Long non-coding RNA from Pangasianodon hypophthalmus (striped catfish), 4978 nucleotides. RefSeq lists it as uncharacterized. The transcript has 3 exons. Lineage: Eukaryota; Metazoa; Chordata; Actinopteri; Siluriformes; Pangasiidae. The record is from RefSeq and is a predicted model, not a curated record.